UUAAUUGAAACCAAAAAGAGGUAUAUCAUUGUUAAUGAUAAAAAUGAAAUUUAUUCCAAUUAAA
This 64-nucleotide transfer RNA is filed under the name Inocellia cheni. RNAcentral's name for it is "tRNA-Asn". The record is from RNAcentral. Lineage: Eukaryota; Metazoa; Arthropoda; Insecta; Raphidioptera; Inocelliidae.